This 578-nucleotide ribosomal RNA is filed under the name uncultured Bacteroidota bacterium. Its description in RNAcentral is "bacterial SSU rRNA". It matches the Rfam family "Bacterial small subunit ribosomal RNA", at positions 338 to 916 of the family's 1533-position model. The record is from RNAcentral. Lineage: Bacteria; Pseudomonadati; Bacteroidota.
CCUACGGGAGGCAGCAGUGAGGAAUAUUGGGCAAUGGAGGCAACUCUGACCCAGCCAUGCCGCGUGCAGGAAGACGGCCCUCUGGGUUGUAAACUGCUUUUGUUUGGGAAUAAACCCUUCUACGUGUAGAAGGCUGAAGGUACCAUACGAAUAAGGAUCGGCUAACUCCGUGCCAGCAGCCGCGGUAAUACGGAGGAUCCAAGCGUUAUCCGGAUUUAUUGGGUUUAAAGGGUCCGUAGGCGGGUCUUUAAGUCAGUGGUGAAAGCCCACAGCUCAACUGUGGAACUGCCAUUGAUACUGGAGAUCUUGAGUGUAGUAGAAGUAGGCGGAAUAGGGCAUGUAGCGGUGAAAUGCAUAGAUAUGCCCUAGAACACCGAUUGCGAAGGCAGCUUACUAUGUUACAACUGACGCUGAGGGACGAAAGCGUGGGGAGCGAACAGGAUUAGAUACCCUGGUAGUCCACGCCGUAAACGAUGCUAACUCGUUUUUGGGCUUUAGGGUUCAGAGACCAAGCGAAAGUGAUAAGUUAGCCACCUGGGGAGUACGCUCGCAAGAGUGAAACUCAAAGGAAUUGACGG